AGCCCUUGACAUGUCUGGGACCGGUCGCAGAGACGCGACCUUCUCUUCGGAGCCCGGAACACAGGUGCUGCAUGGCUGUCGUCAGCUCGUGUCGUGUGAUGUUGGGUUAAGUCCCGCAACGAGCGCAACCCCCGUCCUUAGUUGCUACCAUUUAGUUGAGCACUCUAAGGAGACUGCCGGUGAUAAGCCGCGAGGAAGGUGGGGAUGACGUCAAGUCCUCAUGGCCCUUACGGGCUGGGCUACACACGUGCUACAAUGGCGGUGACAAUGGGAUGCGAAGGCGCAAGCCCUAGCAAAUCUCAAAAAACCGUCUCAGUUCGGAUUGGGCUCUGCAACUCGAGCCCAUGAAGCUGGAAUCGCUAGUAAUCGUGGAUCAGCACGCCACGGUGAAUACGUUCCCGGGCC
This 405-nucleotide ribosomal RNA is filed under the name uncultured bacterium. Its description in RNAcentral is "bacterial SSU rRNA". It matches the Rfam family "Bacterial small subunit ribosomal RNA", at positions 976 to 1380 of the family's 1533-position model. The record is from RNAcentral.